Molecule: ribosomal RNA, 485 nt
Filed under: uncultured bacterium
Lineage: Bacteria
Description: bacterial SSU rRNA
Rfam family: Bacterial small subunit ribosomal RNA
Source: RNAcentral
GACGAACGCUGGCGGCGUGCUUAACACAUGCAAGUCGAACGAGGGAAUUGAAAGCUUGCUUUUGAAACCCGAGUGGCAAACGGGUGAGUAACGCGUAGGCAACCUGCCGUUGAGAUGGGGACAACAUCCCGAAAGGGGUGCUAAUACCGAAUGUUGUGGGAGCUCCGCAUGGAGCACCCACUAAAGAUGACCUCUCCUUGGAAGUUAUCGCUCAACGAUGGGCCUGCGUCUGAUUAGUUAGUUGGUGAGGUAACGGCUCACCAAGACUGCGAUCAGUAGCCGGACUGAGAGGUUGAACGGCCACAUUGGGACUGAGAUACGGCCCAGACUCCUACGGGAGGCAGCAGUGGGGAAUAUUGGGCAAUGGACGCAAGUCUGACCCAGCAACGCCGCGUAAAGGAAGAAGGCUUUCGGGUUGUAAACUUCUUUUACCAGGGACGAAGAAAGUGACGGUACCUGGAGAAAAAGCCACGGCUAACUACGUG